Molecule: ribosomal RNA, 412 nt
Filed under: Cliona varians
Lineage: Eukaryota; Metazoa; Porifera; Demospongiae; Clionaida; Clionaidae
Description: eukaryotic LSU rRNA
Rfam family: Eukaryotic large subunit ribosomal RNA
Source: RNAcentral
CGCCCUGAGAGGCCGCCGACUAGCACUCCUGUUGGGAGCCGGCCAACAGCAGUUGCUUCUGGCCCAGAAGGGAGCGUAUAGCCGUUCGCGACUGAGGAGAGCAGCGCAGGCCCCCGGGCCGCCUCUGUCCGUUUUCCCGCGGCGGGGGCAGUGUCUGCUGACGGUUCGCCUGCUCGGUCGGGGGGUCGGCCACGCCUUGCGCUGGGGCUGUUGGUGCUCAAAUGGCUGCAUCCGACCCGUCUUGAAACACGGACCAAGGAGUGCAACAUGCGUGCGAGUCUUGGAGUGGAAAACUCGUCGGCGCAAUGAAGGUGAAGGCAGGCCGCAUCGUCGACCGAUCCCAGGCUACGCUGUGGCGGGAUUUGAGUAAGAGCGUGCCUGUUGCGACCCGAAAGAUGGUGAACUAUGCCUG